GGGGCCGUAGCUCAGUUGGGAGAGCGUCGCGUUCGCAAUGCGAAGGUCGUGGGUUCAAAUCCCAUCGGCUCCA
RNAcentral lists this transfer RNA (73 nucleotides) under Planctomycetaceae bacterium. Its description in RNAcentral is "tRNA-Ala". It matches the Rfam family "tRNA". From Rfam's summary of the family: Transfer RNA (tRNA) molecules are approximately 80 nucleotides in length. Their secondary structure includes four short double-helical elements and three loops (D, anti-codon, and T loops). RNAcentral also lists the same sequence under 1 other name. Lineage: Bacteria; Pseudomonadati; Planctomycetota; Planctomycetia; Planctomycetales; Planctomycetaceae. The record is from RNAcentral.